RNAcentral lists this ribosomal RNA (547 nucleotides) under uncultured Bacteroidota bacterium. Its description in RNAcentral is "bacterial SSU rRNA". It matches the Rfam family "Bacterial small subunit ribosomal RNA", at positions 8 to 526 of the family's 1533-position model. The record is from RNAcentral. Lineage: Bacteria; Pseudomonadati; Bacteroidota.
AGAGUUUGAUCAUGGCUCAGGAUGAACGCUAGCGACAGGCCUAACACAUGCAAGUCGAGGGGCAUCGGGACGUAGCAAUACGUUGCCGGCGACCGGCGGAUGGGUGAGUAACGCGUAUGCAACCUACCCGUAGCAGGGGGAUAGCCCGUUGAAAGACGGAUUAAUACCCCGUAACACAGGGGCUCCGCAUGGAGAUUAUUGUUAAAGGGUCAUUUCUUUUUCAGGGAUGGUCCGGCUGCGGAUGGGCAUGCGUUCCAUUAGGUAGUUGGUGUAGGUAACUGCUCACCAAGCCGACGAUGGAUAGGGGAACUGAGAGGUUGGUCCCCCACACUGGUACUGAGACACGGACCAGACUCCUACGGGAGGCAGCAGUGAGGAAUUUUGGUCAAUGGACGCAAGUCUGAACCAGCCAUGUCGCGUGAAGGAGGACGGCCCUAAGGGUUGUAAACUUCUUUUGCAGCGGAAUAAAGUUUGCCACGUGUUGGCGAUUUGCAAGUACGCUGCGAAUAAGGAUCGGCUAACUCCGUGCCAGCCGCCGCGGUAAUAC